Molecule: ribosomal RNA, 265 nt
Filed under: uncultured bacterium
Lineage: Bacteria
Description: partial 16S ribosomal RNA
Rfam family: Bacterial small subunit ribosomal RNA
Source: RNAcentral
GUCCUUGCCGUAAACGAUGUAUACUUGAUGUAGUCAGGCUCAACCCUGACUGUGUCGAAGCUAACGCGAUAAGUAUACCGCCUGAGGAGUACGCUCGCAAGGGUGAAACUCAAAAAGAAUUGACGGGGGCCCGCACAAGCAGUGGAGCAUGUGGUUUAAUUCGAUGCAACGCGAAGAACCUUACCCAGGCUCGAAAAUGUAGAGGCAAUCAACAGAGAUGUUGAGUUCCGUAAGGACUUCUAUAUAGGUGCUGCAUGGCUGUCGU